Molecule: ribosomal RNA, 405 nt
Filed under: uncultured bacterium
Lineage: Bacteria
Description: partial 16S ribosomal RNA
Rfam family: Bacterial small subunit ribosomal RNA
Source: RNAcentral
AUUGAACGCUAGCGGGAUGCUUUACACAUGCAAGUCGAACGAGUGGCGGACGGGUGAGUAAUAUAUCGGAACGUGCCCCGUAGCGGGGGAUAACUACUCGAAAGAGUGGCUAAUAACGCAUACUAUUGGAGCGGCCGAUAUCGGAAUAGCUAGUGGGUGGGGUAAAGGCUCACCAAGGCACCGAUCCGUAGCUGGUUUGAGAGGACGACCAGCCACACUGGGACUGAGACACGGCUCAGACUCCUACGGGAGGCAGCAGUGGGGAAUUGUGGACAAUGGGGGAAACCCUGAUCCAGCCAUCCCGCGUGUAUGAGAAGGCCUUCGGGUUGUAAAGUACUUUUGGCAGAGAAGCGGUAACUGCAGAAUACGCACCGGCUCACUACGCGACAGCAGCCGCGGUAAUUC